This 465-nucleotide ribosomal RNA is filed under the name Vreelandella stevensii. RNAcentral describes it as "partial 16S ribosomal RNA". It matches the Rfam family "Bacterial small subunit ribosomal RNA", at positions 338 to 795 of the family's 1533-position model. Lineage: Bacteria; Pseudomonadati; Pseudomonadota; Gammaproteobacteria; Oceanospirillales; Halomonadaceae. The record is from RNAcentral.
CCUACGGGCGGCUGCAGUGGGGAAUAUUGGACAAUGGGGGCAACCCUGAUCCAGCCAUGCCGCGUGUGUGAAGAAGGCCCUCGGGUUGUAAAGCACUUUCAGUGAGGAAGAACGCCUGGUGGUUAAUACCCAUCAGGAAAGACAUCACUCACAGAAGAAGCGCCGGCUAACUCCGUGCCAGCAGCCGCGGUAAUACGGAGGGUGCGAGCGUUAAUCGGAAUUACUGGGCGUAAAGCGCGCGUAGGUGGCUUGAUAAGCCGGUUGUGAAAGCCCCGGGCUCAACCUGGGAACGGCAUCCGGAACUGUCAAGCUAGAGUGCAGGAGAGGAAGGUAGAAUUCCCGGUGUAGCGGUGAAAUGCGUAGAGAUCGGGAGGAAUACCAGUGGCGAAGGCGGCCUUCUGGACUGACACUGACACUGAGGUGCGAAAGCGUGGGUAGCAAACAGGAUUAGAUACCCGAGUAGUC